This 383-nucleotide ribosomal RNA is filed under the name uncultured eukaryote. Its description in RNAcentral is "SSU rRNA". It matches the Rfam family "Eukaryotic small subunit ribosomal RNA", at positions 587 to 972 of the family's 1831-position model. The record is from RNAcentral.
AGCUCCAAUAGCGUAUACUAAAGUUGUUGCAGUUAAAAAGCUCGUAGUUGAAUUUCUGGUCUUGGACGGCGGUCUACCACAAUUGUGGUACGUACCAACUGUCCGAGUCCAUCCUCGGGGAAAACAUGCCUGUGAUUUAGUUCAUGGGUAUGGGAUCCUCGUCAUUUACUGUGAGCAAAAUAGAGUGUUCAAAGCAGGCUUAUGCCGUUGAAUACAUUAGCAUGGAAUAAUAAGAUAGGACCUUGGUCUAUUUUGUUGGUUUGUACUCCAAGGUAAUGAUUAAUAGGGAUAGUUGGGGGUAUUCGUAUUCAAUUGUCAGAGGUGAAAUUCUUGGAUUUAUGGAAGACGAACUACUGCGAAAGCAUUUACCAAGGAUGUUUUCA